GCAUUAUUCAUAACAACAGAAAAAAAGAAACUAACCAAACAUCCAUCAACUAAUGAAUGGAUAAAAAAUAUGGUAUACCCAACAGUGAGAUAUUAUUAAGCCAUAGAAAGGAAUGAAGUUUCUAUGCUUGCUACAGCAUGAACAUUGAAACCAUUACACUGAGUGAAAGAAGCCAGCGUGGCAGGUAAAGGGAUGCGAGCAAGGAGGAGACAUUGUGAUCUUGACUCCUUUUCCUUUGAGUAGAGGAUAAUUUGUCACAUUUUGGAAGGCAGUGCCUUUGAGCAGCUUCAUGAGCCUAGGAUCUGACUCUCUUAGGAAAGUUCCUUGGAAGAGCCUACAGGUGACAACAGUGUUGAACUUUAGGCAAGCCCUGUGAUACUGGAAAAUUGCAAAGGUUAAGAAAUGUCCCCACCCUUUUGUGUUCUGGGAAACAGCUCACUGCAAAGAACUCCCUUCCCCAUAUGACUUAGAUGAGACUCAUAGGUGCCCCCACUUGUUUACCUAUGACAAGGCCAGACCCAGAGCCUCCAAACUCCCUUUCUUUGUUUUUGUGGUUAGUUUAACUGCCUGUUUCCACUGGUCAGUCGGAACAAAGUGUUCGUUAACCUAACUUUGGUGUAGAGUCUCUCCUUUCCCCAGGUCCUGGCCCACCCUCAGCCUGAGCCAGCAGACAACUCCUCUUUACAGACCUUCCUGAUCAGCCCUCAACCACUGUCUGAUUGUGUCACUCUGAUCAUCCCAGCCCCCAACACCCACUUCUUUCUAACCUUGUUUAUGCCUCUUUAGCAAAGCAAAAUAUUUACUGCCUCAUCUUGAGACACUUGCAGAUUAAGUGGUCAGAACAUUCCCUCUACUGCAAUAAUCCUUUUGAAUAAAGUCUCUCCUAACUAAAUCUGAGGUUUUUUUUUGUUUGGCAGUAAAUUAAUGAAGCCAAAGAUCACGGGAGACCAUCUGCUUGUGUUUACCCAUGAGGCAGUGUGGCAUAGGCGAAUGGGUGCGAGUCUAGCCCUGCUAUUCCUGCCUGUGUAACCCUAGAGAGCCUUUCUAAUUACUCUCUGCCUCUGCUUCCUUACCUGUAAAAUGGGCUAAAUAAUGGUACCUGUGUCAGUUAAUAUUUGUGAAAUGCCUAAUAGAGCCUAUUCCAAACAAUUACUACAUCAGUCUUUUUAAAAAAUAAAACUGUGUCUUUAUUUUAAUUUUCAGAUGUUUCCACUCACAAUAUUGGUAAAUGUAGAGUUUGCCUCUACUGACUGUCAGCUGAACAUCUUGGUUAAGACUCAGACUGCCUGAUUCUUCUCUUCCACUUACAAGCCUUGGGAAAGUCACAUAUAACCAUGUGGAACCUCCACUUCCUCACAUGGAAGGACCCUCUCGCUAGAAACAUUUGGAUACAUGACAGUUCGCUUGCUCUGACCAAGGAGGAACAGCUGCCCAUACUCAGUUCCCUGGGUCUAAGAGACACUCAGACAACAUCUUUGUUAAAUUCAUUAUUUGCAAAGGCCUGGGCAGAAGACCAAAACAGAAAAAGAGGAGAACCAAAUGACAACUCGGAGGAAAUGAUCAGGACUGAGAAGGAGAGGAGAAAAUCCAAGAGGCCAGACCCUCACGUGGACCCUAUUGUCUCUUCCUUCCAACCUCCCAGCCUAUAAACACCUGUGCUAAGCCCAGCUGCCCAGCCCAGGCCCCAUCUGUGGGUGAGGCCUGAGACUUUUCGACCUUGCCUUGGCUGAGCACCGUUAUUACCACAUGCCUAAGACCCGUGCUCCAAUGCAUCUAUCAGGAAUAAAGCUGAUGUCUUAAGCC
This 1803-nucleotide long non-coding RNA is filed under the name Homo sapiens (human). RNAcentral's name for it is "HSALNT0387332". The record is from RNAcentral. Lineage: Eukaryota; Metazoa; Chordata; Mammalia; Primates; Hominidae.